CACUUUUUGGGUGACGCAUUCACUUAUAAACCUACGUCUGACUCACCAAGAACCCCGCCAUGGCAACCAUCCAGAGCAAACUCUUGCGACAUCCACAAUCGAAAGAGAGGGAUCCCAAAUAGGUAAUAUUAAAUACUUUGGUUGAUAUCGUAAUUGCUUCCAUUUUAAAAAUAUUUGUUGAUGAUUAGAAUUGGUUGCAUCCUCCGAAUGGUGGUUUCAUGUCGAUAUAUAUGGUUAAAUUGUUGAAAAUGAUAGCUUGGUGAGUACUAGUGUUGUAUUAUUUUUUUCGCGCAAAGUCAACACAACGACACCCUUUCUUGACCUAAAACUUAAUGUGGCGACAAACUUCAUUCUUUAAACUUUCUACGACGAAUGUCUUUGUUGCAAUUCUUUGUCGUGCAAAGCCCUUUGCGCAACAACAUCUGGGUGGAUUCGUAGCGCUAAUUUUGACGUGAUGAACUUGUUUUCCUCGCGAAAGCUAUUUUAUGUAGUAGUGCUUCUUCUCAUUGGGUUGCUAGCUCCAUCACCAAUUGUUGUAGUCUGAAAGACGUCCCACUUGGAAGAUGAGAGCUAGAUGAAGAAGAUUCUCCAAUUUUGAGAAAGGUGAAAUGAGGGGCAUUUUUGUCGUUUCAAAUUUUACUCAAACUUUUGGGUCAACUCUUGAGUUAGUUAGUAGAUCUUGAUGUGAUAUAAACUAGCACUCAAAUUAAACCCUCUUAUUGACAAUUGUAGUAAAGAUGUAAGUAGGGAUCGUUCUAGGCCGAUGAUUAUGAGGGAUUGCUAAUUUACUUAAAACUGACUUAAAAACACAAAACUAAGCUAAAAACACUUAACUAGACUCUAAAGACUCAAAACAAACUAGAAUGACUCAAAACAGCACAAAACAACGAAACUGACUCAAAUUAGACACUAGGGAUUACUUUGAACGAAUUCUAACUUAAACUUGACUCAAAAUACUAAAAGACACAAAAUUGGACAGAUUCUAACUAAGAGACACAACCAAAUAAAGGGGGAUUGGGUUGGAUGAAAUUAAAGUAAAAACAAGCAAAUUGUAAACUUAAACAAAGUUUGGACGAAAUUGGGUGAAUUAAUGGAUGAUGGGCUAGCUAGAGGGUCCUUCUCCACACAUGACACACUUGCACACAAAUUGAUUUCCAGUUGCUUUUCUAAUAAACCAUGAACCUCAACGCCCCAGAUUAACCGUGAACAGCACUAAUUAACCCUCAGAUUUUCCUUAAGUCAUUGAAUUGGAUGGAUAAUGCAUCGGCAACUCAAAUUAUUUUUCAAAAGUUCCCUAUAUGAACAGCAUAAUAAAGAUACAAUCAAAGAUCAUUAAGCUUUGUGAAAAUCAUAAGCAUUGACAAAGCAUUCGUAACUAUGAUGAGCAUGAUACUCCUACCAGGAAUCUACUUAACACGAUUGUGACUAGCAACCUCCACUACUUAUGAAUAUAAGUUUGUAACGAUUAGGUGAAACUCCCUUAUAUUCUAGAAUCAAGUUCAUGCAUGCAAACUAAGCGGGCCCUCUUAAUCAACAUACAAGAAUAAGUUCUGAAUCAAACAAUUAAGUAAAUUGCAUUCACAAUUUAUCAAAUCACAAUUGAAAGUAAUCAAUUCAUAUUACAAAUAUGUUCAUGGCUUUGAAUUCUCCUCUAGCUAAAAGGAGUUUAGCUCCUCAUGUUCACAAAACAAAGAUAAUUAAACUUAAACAUUAAAAACAAAGGAUGGAUUACACCUAAAAACGUUCCAGCAAUCCAAGCUUGAAUGGCAAGCACGUCCAAGGGUCCUCCUUUUUCUUCUUUGUUGCGGCACAAGGUUUGGGUGAAGGUUUGGAUGAUGGAUUGUAUGAAGGGAUGUGUGUUUAGAAUGGGAUGUGUUGAUGGAUGAGUGGUGAAUUGUGGUGGUGGAUGGAUGUAGGUGAGUUAUGGUGAAGGAUGGAUUAUGGAAGGCUGCGGCAAAGCUCUUUAUUUAUAGGAGAAGGAAAGGGCAUGGCUAGGAAUUAAUUUUGGUAAGAGUUAAAGACUCUAAAUCCCCCAAGAAAAGGGUAACAAAUCAAAAUCCCAAGAGGAAAAGGGUAAGGGAGGUGCGGCAAGGAAAAAGGGAAAGUGGAAUCCCUUGCCAUGCAAGGGAAAAGAGGAAAGGUGCGGCUCCUUUUAGGGAUGGGAUUAGGUCUUCUAGAAUCAUGAU
Molecule: long non-coding RNA, 2186 nt
Filed under: Malus domestica (apple)
Lineage: Eukaryota; Viridiplantae; Streptophyta; Magnoliopsida; Rosales; Rosaceae
Description: long non-coding RNA (MDOM_LNC001845)
Source: RNAcentral